This 85-nucleotide transfer RNA is filed under the name Felis catus (domestic cat). It matches the Rfam family "tRNA". From Rfam's summary of the family: Transfer RNA (tRNA) molecules are approximately 80 nucleotides in length. Their secondary structure includes four short double-helical elements and three loops (D, anti-codon, and T loops). Lineage: Eukaryota; Metazoa; Chordata; Mammalia; Carnivora; Felidae. The record is from Rfam by way of RNAcentral.
GCCUGGGUGGCUCAGUCGGUUGAGCGUCUGAUUUUGGCUCAGGUCACAAGUUCGCGGUCUGUGGGUUCCAGCCCCAUGUCAGGCU